Molecule: long non-coding RNA, 243 nt
Organism: Hemiscyllium ocellatum (epaulette shark)
Lineage: Eukaryota; Metazoa; Chordata; Chondrichthyes; Orectolobiformes; Hemiscylliidae
Exons: 2
Source: RefSeq, a predicted model, not a curated record
CACUUCUCCGAGUAGUUCUCUCAGUCUGGGACGGCGAGAAUUUAAAGGAAUCUUUACUCGGUCAAAGAUGUUCGAGGAGAAAGAUGUUCCUGAAGAAGGGCUUAUGUCCGAAACGUCGAUUCUCCUGCUCCUUGGAUCCUGCCUGACCUGCUGCGCUUUUCCAGCAACACAUUUUCAGCUCGGUUAAAGAUGUUGUAGAGGUGUGAGUUGUGUACACGUGGAAUAAUCACUCUUUAGGGUUAA